Non-coding RNA from Pelobates cultripes (western spadefoot toad), 101 nucleotides. The record is from the annotation of a GenBank genome assembly. NCBI's taxonomy places the organism in Eukaryota, Metazoa, Chordata, Amphibia, Anura, Pelobatidae.
GCUCAUUGCGGCAGGGCAUAGUUUAAACUGGAACAAUUGAGAGAAGAUUAGCAGUACCCCAUGGAAGUAUGAUACGCAUUUGUGAAAUCUUCCAUACUUAA